This 1881-nucleotide long non-coding RNA is filed under the name Brassica napus (rape). Its description in RNAcentral is "long non-coding RNA (BNAP_LNC017768)". The record is from RNAcentral. Lineage: Eukaryota; Viridiplantae; Streptophyta; Magnoliopsida; Brassicales; Brassicaceae.
CGUUAUUUCUCCUUUUUGUAGAUUGUAUUGUUUUUUUUUGACAUGAGAGAUCACACCUUGUUUGAUGGUUGCCCAGUGAUGCCCGAAGAAUCCUGCAUUCAUUCCAUCCAAGCCUGGCGAUUUGUCAGGGUUAAUGGCGUGAGCAGCAUCCUCUAUCUCCUUUUCUGUAACUUCUUGGGUUAGCAUAUUGUUGAUCUCAGCUGUAGUAGUGGUUGGGAUUCCUUUUAGUAUGUGCUGAAUAAUCUCGGUUCCUUCACUUCUAUAUAGAUCCUGAAAGUAUCGGUAAAUUUGAGAUUGAAUAUCUUUAAUCUCUGUAUGUAUUUUACCUCCUUCAUCCGAGAUGUGAAUGAUCCUGUUAUGACUUCUUCUCUGCUUGGCCUUUGAGUGAAAGAAUCUGGUAUUUCGAUCUCCUGCUUGAGGCCACUGAAUUCUACUUUUUGUUCUCCAAAAUUCUUCUGUAAGUCGAUACUGCAAACUCAACUCAGUCUUCAGCAUAUUAAUAUAAGCAUAGUCAAUAUCUAAAGACUUGUAAGCUUGUUCAAUUUGUUCUUUCAACUGAUUGAUUUUCUUUUCCGUGUUUCUUGGGUUCUGACUUCUCCAUCUAGAAAGGGCUUUUCUACAAUUUUCUAAGACUCUGUAAAAAAGAUGCGGAGGUAAAUUAGCACAGUCGUUUUGCCACACUUCCUGUAUUAUCCUCCUAACCUCAGGUUCAAACCUCCACCUAUUAUCAUAUCUAAACUGCUUCUUUCUGUUACACUUGAUACUUUCAGUAUCUAUAAGCAGUGGCUUAUGAUCUGAGCCUAUCCAAGGGAGCAAUUUAACAUGUGCAGUAGGAUAUAGGUCUAACCACUCGCAAUUUGCCAUAGCCCUAUCAAUUCUUGUUCUAAUAUUGUAUUUGGGCCUAUUCCCAUUCCAAGUAUAAAAGCCCCCUAUGGAUUUUAAGUCAUGAACCCCUAUUACCGAGAUCAUUGUUCUAAAAAGAGAAAAAGAUACCUCUGACCUUUGGACACCCCCAUCCUUUUCCUUGUUAUCCUUGAUGUCAUUAAACUCUCCAAGCAUCAGUCUUGGACGGUUCUGAUACAAUCCUGCAGCGCAUUACAAAUUAAUCCUUCCCGCAAUUCAUUUCUGUACUUUAAGACAUGGUGUCCUAUUUUUUUUUUUUUGAUCAAAUGUGUCCGUAUAUAUAUGUCAAGCAGAAAACAUUACAAUCUUCUUCUAUAUACAUAUCAGUGGCAUUCAAAGUAGGAUUACCCAAAAACCUAACCUUGACCCCGUCAUUCCACAUUAUAACUAACCCACCACUAGUUCCUUUAGCGGAAACUACAAAAGAGUGCUCUUCAACCACCUUAUGUACAAAACUAUCUAUAUUUUUCGUUUCAACCAGAACCAUCAUAUUAGGCUUAUACUUCUUUCUGAUAUCUUUAAGAUGAGAAAUUGUCAAAGGGCUUCCCAACCCCUCUGACAAUUCCAGUGCAAAAUCUUCAUAUUGAUCGAGCUUUUUGAACUAAAUUUUAAUGAGAAAGUAAUCUGAUGGAAGCAAGUUUCUUUUUAAUCUGCUACUGAGCUUCAGAUUCGAUGAAAAUACAGAAAGUUACUUGAUCCUUAUACAAGAUGAAGCUAAAUCCGACUUUAAUUGCUCGACCUUAGAGAGAAUCGCACAAACUGCGAAGAACGUAAUCGCUAACGCUAAGGAGAGUCGCACAAACCAAAGUGAUAGUCGCACACAGCGAAGAUUAAAUCACCUAACUGUGAAUUGAAGAUUUCACAAAGUGAAUUAAAGAUCAAUCGAACGGGAUGAGAUGCUCGCUCAAGCAGGGAACUUUCGCGAACAUCAGCAGACGAUAACUUGCAAUUUAAAAAUAAAAUUUUACCAUUUUUUCC